AACGUCGCCUCCGCCCCCCGGCCACGGCGGUACAUGCAAGGAACCCU
RNAcentral lists this ribosomal RNA (47 nucleotides) under Ophiopogon japonicus. RNAcentral describes it as "partial 26S ribosomal RNA". The record is from RNAcentral. Lineage: Eukaryota; Viridiplantae; Streptophyta; Magnoliopsida; Asparagales; Asparagaceae.